CAGUGUUGUCCACCUGGUUUAAAUCUCUGUCUGUUUGUCUCCUCUCUUCUCUGCAGGUCAUCAGAGCAGUGCUGGUGUCUCCUGUCCAUAUCAGACACAGUGUUGUCCACCUGGUUUAAAUCUCUGUCUGUUUGUCUCCUCUCUUCUCUGCAGGUCAUCAGAGCAGUGCUGGUGUCUCCUGUCCAUAUCAGACACAGUGUUGUCCACCUGGUUUAAAUCUCUGUCAGAUGCAUUGUGUAUUCUAUUUCCUGUCAGUGAUGUUAUCCAGGUGGAGUAUUCUAUAUCCUGUCAGUGAUGUUAUCCAGGUAGAGUAUUCUAUAUCCUGUCAGUGAUGUUGUAUUCUAUAUCCUGUCAGUGAUGUUAUCCAGGUAGAGUAUUCUAUUUCCUGUCAGUGAUGUUAUCCAUGUAGAGUAUUCUAUAUCCUGUCAGUGAUGUUAUCCAGGUAGAGUAUUCUAUAUCCUGUCAGUGAUGUUGUCCAGGUAGAGUAUUCUAUUUCCUGUCAGUGAUAUUGUAUUCUAUAUCCUGUCAGUGAUGUUGUCCAGGUAGAGUAUUCUAUAUCCUGUCAGUGAUGUUAUCCAGGUAGAGUAUUCUAUAUCCUGUCAGUGAUGUUGUAUUCUAUAUCCUGUCAGUGAUGUUAUCCAGGUAGAGUAUUCUAUAUCCUGUCAGUGAUGUUGUCCAGGUAGAGUAUUCUAUUUCCUGUCAGUGAUGUUGUAUUCUAUUUCCUGUCAGUGAUGUUGUCCAGGUAGAGUAUUCUAUUUCCUGUCAGUGAUGUUAUCCAGGUAGAGUAUUCUAUAUCCUGUCAGUGAUGUUGUCCAGGUAGAGUAUUCUAUAUCCUGUCAGUGAUGUUGUCCAGGUAGAGUAUUCUAUAUCCUGUCAGUGAUGUUAUCCAGGUAGAGUAUUCUAUAUCCUGUCAGUGAUGUUAUCCAGGUAGAGUAUUCUAUAUCCUGUCAGUGAUGUUAUCCAGGUAGAGUAUUCUAUAUCCUGUCAGGGAUGUUGUCCAGGUAGAGUAUUCUAUAUCCUGUCAGUGAUGUUGUCCAGGUAGAGUAUUCUAUAUCCUGUCAGGGAUGUUGUAUUCUAUAUCCUGUCAGUGAUGUUGUCCAGGUAGAGUAUUCUAUAUCCUGUCAGUGAUGUUGUCCCUAAUGGAAAGGCAUGUCAGAGCCCUGUCCUCCAGUGAGUCAUGUUUUCUCAUCUUUUCCAUUGUGAAUUUCAUCCGUUUCUCCUCUCAGAGGUAAAAGACAGUGAUGGUGUUUUCUAUCCGAUGCUUGUUAGCUGAGGAGGUCUCCAGCGGUCGGAGGAUGGUAUACCGCGGGGUGUUUCAGGAAGC
This 1324-nucleotide long non-coding RNA is filed under the name Salmo salar (Atlantic salmon). Its description in RNAcentral is "lncRNA (ENSSSAG00000093300.1)". The record is from RNAcentral. Lineage: Eukaryota; Metazoa; Chordata; Actinopteri; Salmoniformes; Salmonidae.